Eriocheir sinensis (Chinese mitten crab) is the source of this 1395-nucleotide long non-coding RNA. RefSeq lists it as uncharacterized. NCBI's taxonomy places the organism in Eukaryota, Metazoa, Arthropoda, Malacostraca, Decapoda, Varunidae. The record is from RefSeq and is a predicted model, not a curated record. The transcript has 4 exons.
CGUCGCCAUUAAAGGAGUGUUUCCGCCUCAUCCACAUCUCCACCUCUAUACACAAUAUAAGAUGGAGCUUGUUGCGGCAUACAUUUUCAAUCGCAGACUGUGCAGGGAAAGGAGAUAUCGGGACCCACUCAACCCACUACAUGUCAGUGAUGAACACCUGUUGCAGGUGUAUAGAUUUCCCCGUCAGGAAAUCAUCAGGCUCUGUGAUGAGUUUCGCCCCCACCUGGAAAGGAGAACCAGGAGGGCACAUGCACUCCCAACACACACCCAGGAGACACUGCGUAUCCUCUGGAGCCAUUCCUGAUGACCCCAGUUGCACGGCCGACAACACCUGGGGAGGAGCGCUACAACAAGUCAUCACAGGACAAGAUGCGUUGUCGAACGGACCUUUGGGAUCCUCAAGUCAAGGUGCAGGUGCCUACAUAAGUCAGGAGGAAGUUUGCAGUAUGACCCCAAGAAGACUAUGAAGAUUGCGACUUCUUGUAUGCUCCUGCACAACUACUGAGUGGAUCGCUGCAGAAGAAGUAACAGUUCAGCCUGUGAGAAACAACAGACUGAUUCCUGGUCAAGUUGUCAGGCAGGAAUUUAUUAGAAACUUCUUUUCCUGAGUAUAGAUUGCAUAUGGUGCACCGGUGGCCGAGUGGUCAGCGUGUGUACGUGGUGAUCCAGAGGACUCGACUCCCACCGCAAGACGCUGAGAGUUUUCAACCAUUGACAAGUGGCGGAGGGUUACCAACAUGCUGCCCAGCAGAUCUUCAGUCAACCCUAACUUCAGCGUCUUUGAUCAAGAGGGGCACCACCUCCACACCACUCAUUCUUAUCACCUAGUUUGAUACCCUACUUGUCCAUCUCACAUGGCCCAUGUAUCUCAGCAUUCUGCACUCUUGGCUCCAUGUCAUCCUCUCCAACUUGUUGGUUCGUAUAGCAUAACUGGCCUCACAUACAUAGAAGUGUUCAAUAUACCUAGGCUAUAAUAUUAUAUUUAAGGACUCUUAUACGAGGUAUCGCCCCAUACAGAGGUGUCGAAGUAAGUCUGUCUGAUGGUAGGCUGGCUGACUGCUGUCGGGACCCAAGCCAGCAUGCCCUGGGGGUUGUGUGCGGGAGGAGGAAAGAGGGAAAAGGACAAAUGGUGUGUGUGUCAUUAUCAGGGGUAACCACGGUGGAGCGCAAACACUCGGUAGUUGUAGUCAAGGCUUAAUUAAGUUGAUGAGUGGUGUUAGACUGAAUGAGCAGGUUUUUUACCACAUGUUAGUGGGAACACUUGAUAGGUUUUGUUUGUGUGUUGGUGCUACUUGUUUCUUGUGUUUACAUGUUAGUUUAUAAUUAGACUGAGUUCUAAGUGUUAUGAGCGACAAUUUAGUCUUGUAUGGCUGAAUCCUGUCCCUUGACCCUUAA